UGGGGAAUAUUGCACAAUGGGCGCAAGCCUGAUGCAGCAACGCCGCGUGAGCGAAGAAGGUCUUCGGAUCGUAAAGCUCUGUCCUUGAGGAAGAAGGAAGUGACGGUACUCAAGGAGGAAGCCCCGGCUAACUACGUGCCAGCAGCCGCGGUAAUACGUAGGGGGCAAGCGUUAUCCGGAAUUAUUGGGCGUAAAGAGUACGUAGGUGGUUUUGUAAGCGCGGGGUGAAAGGCAGUGGCUUAACCAUUGUAAGCCUUGCGAACUGCAAGACUUGAGUGCAGGAGAGGAAAGCGGAAUUCCUAG
RNAcentral lists this ribosomal RNA (303 nucleotides) under uncultured bacterium. Its description in RNAcentral is "bacterial SSU rRNA". It matches the Rfam family "Bacterial small subunit ribosomal RNA", at positions 355 to 673 of the family's 1533-position model. The record is from RNAcentral.